CGAGUGAAGCGGCAAAAGCUCAAAUUUGAAAUCUGGCGUCUUCGACGUCCGAGUUGUAAUUUGAAGAAGGCAACUUUGUAGCUGGUCCUUGUCUAUGUUCCUUGGAACAGGACGUCAUAGAGGGUGAGAAUCCCGUGUGGCGAGGAUCCCAGUUAUUUGUAAAGUGCUUUCGACGAGUCGAGUUGUUUGGGAAUGCAGCUCUAAGUGGGUGGUAAAUUCCAUCUAAAGCUAAAUAUUGGCGAGAGACCGAUAGCGAACAAGUACAGUGAUGGAAAGAUGAAAAGAACUUUGAAAAGAGAGUGAAAAAGUACGUGAAAUUGUUGAAAGGGAAGGGCAUUUGAUCAGACAUGGCGUUUGCUUCGGCUUUCGCUGGGCCAGCAUCAGUUUUAGCGGUUGGAUAAAUCCUCGGGAAUGUGGCUCUGCUUCGGUAGAGUGUUAUAGCCCGUGGGAAUACAGCCAGCUGGGACUGAGGAUUGCGACUUUUGUCAAGGAUGCUGGCGUAA
Molecule: ribosomal RNA, 503 nt
Filed under: Kluyveromyces lactis
Lineage: Eukaryota; Fungi; Ascomycota; Saccharomycetes; Saccharomycetales; Saccharomycetaceae
Description: partial 26S ribosomal RNA
Rfam family: Eukaryotic large subunit ribosomal RNA
Source: RNAcentral